Molecule: long non-coding RNA, 1559 nt
Filed under: Homo sapiens (human)
Lineage: Eukaryota; Metazoa; Chordata; Mammalia; Primates; Hominidae
Description: non-protein coding lnc-EEF1AKMT1-3:4
Source: RNAcentral
GGCGGGUGCGGGGCGCGCGUGCACGUGUGCGUGUGCCUGCCGGGUUGCUGCGCCGCGGGCUGCGAGUGCUUGUGACCCGCCGCACCCUCACCCCCGGGCGCGCCAUCCCUGCUCCGCCGCCAGCGAGGGAGCCCCGGAGCCUAAGACGCCCGGACCCGCCGCCUCGCAGACCCACCCUUGCCCCUGCGCCUCGUCAUCCGCCCGCCCCAGCCAGCCCGCGCAGGGUCCGCGGCCCGCUUUUCCGCGAGAAGCCCCCUGUGGUCUUUCCUCGUACCCGGGGACUCGGACCGAGAAGCCGACUGAGCGAGGUCGCCGCCCGGCCUCACGGACACAGAGCGACUCUGCACCUUUCGCCUCCAGGAGCUGAAAACAUUUUGUCACUUGUGCAGUGUACUCACCAGUGCCCCCAACAUCUUCUCCCCCGAAAGCGCUUUCAGAUUCGCGCCGAGAUGGGGCGACGCGGCGGCUCUUGAGCGGAAUAACCCGAAGGGCCACGCAAACUGGGGCUUCCAGCCGCGAGCAUGCGGCGGGGCGCCCAGGGCCUGGGGUCGCGCGCUCAGGGCCUGUGCUGCGCCACGCAGGAGGAGGAGAGGGCUGGCCCUGCCGGGCGCGGGUGCGGGCCCGACUGGCUGAAGGAGGAGUGGGGACUGGCUUGGAAGUCUCCGAAGCAGAAAAGUGGGGCCGACAGGAUGGAAUUGGGGGAGGCCGAUUUUGGCUCAGAGAGAUUUCUCUAUUAAGGAAAGCAGUCCAAGAAUAGGCCCCCUGGAAGAGGAAUGCGCUCAAACCCAGAGGGAUUCUCCUUAGAGCUACCUCUUGAGAUUCUGUACUUCGAGGAAAUUAGAGGUUUUUUUAAAUCUCUAUUUUUAAUAAGGUGGGAGGAGGCUGUUGCUCCUUUCUCCUCAACAACAUGAAAUGAUCCUGUGCCUCUAUCCAACAACUCUACAACAAAGCACUGAAUACUUCCCUGACUGGCACUUUCAUGGCUGUUCAUGGGCAUCUCUUGGUCUAUGACGACGAUGUUGGAGAGUUCCUACUCCGUGAUAACUCAGUUCUAAGUGCAAGCAGUCACGUGAAAUGAGCCUGAUAGUCUGCGAAUGAAGAAACUAAAACGAACUAUAUUAUAUACUUCAUAACACAAGACAACGUGCUCGUUUGUUCAUUCUGCAAGUAAAUGCUUAAUGCUUCCUAGGUGGCAGGCUAAAGAAUAUGAUCAUUUUAAAGCAGUCAUGCUUUGAAAAUAAACAACCCAUCCCAGCUGUAAGCUUUUUGAAAGUGUACAAAAUAUGUAAUUGAUGACUCCCUAAAUGGUUUGCAGCUUUGGUAUUUGACUGAAUUGUAAACCAUUAGUUAAACUACAUUUCAGUUAUGCUUUGUAGGAAAAACACUUUCCUAUGCAUUGAAUGUUCUAUAACUAAGGAGCUUAGUAAUCUACUGCUAAAAAUCUCACUGAAAUCUCCAGUUUAAGCGAUUUAAGCAAUUUACAGCUCUUGGCAAAUAUUUGUUUUGGGUUAUAAAACACUUUUUUUCUGACUAGUAAAUUGUUCAUGUUCUUUGUUUCC